Molecule: non-coding RNA, 871 nt
Organism: Coturnix japonica (Japanese quail)
Lineage: Eukaryota; Metazoa; Chordata; Aves; Galliformes; Phasianidae
Source: RefSeq, a predicted model, not a curated record
UUCACUGCACACCUGUGACAAUGAUGCUCACUUGGUGCUCUUGCCUUGCCAGUGCCCUGCCUCCAGCUGCAUGCUGUGCAUGGCAGGGCAUCCGGGACACUCUCAAGCCAGCUGAAGCAGUCCCAUAAUGGCUACCAGGCCUCAGCUGAGAUUGUCUGCACUUCAGAAGCGUCCUCCUAGCUGAGCAGCUUGUUUUAAAAGAUGUGUCAUCGAGAGUCCAAACAAGCUGCAACUAUUCACUUCAGGCCCAGUCUCUGUGGCUCUUCAGUACAGUGGCUCCCAUGAGGGUGCAGGAUGGAUAUGAUUUGGCUCCAGACCAGGCUCCAGCUCCAUCACCCUGCGUGCGCACCCCAGCUGCCCUCACCCCAUUGGACCCAGCGGAACCAUGCUGCCUACUUGCAGCAGCUCUUCCUGCUCCACCACAGUUCCCUCAUCUCUUGCUACGUUGUGCCACCAUGCUGUAGCCAGGAGCACAACCAAUCGUCUAGUUCUUGAUUUAUGAAGCAUCUGUUUUCUUAUGGCUGCAAACAGAAAGAAGUCUGAAGGGAGCUGUAAGUGGCUGCGUGCCCCUUCUGUCCAGGCCUGGUGGAACAGGUAGGGGCACCUGCUGGGGGCAGUGGCAGCAUGGAGUGUUGCCCGUGGUACCCCUAUGGUAGAGUCAAGAGAGGACCCUUUUCUCCUCAGUUAAGCUUUUUUCCUAACCAACAAGCAACAACAGCAAUACAAAUGGAGAAGGAGUUUGGCUCUUAGUUAGUUCUGGUGGUGUGGAAGAAGGGAAAUGCCUUGGAGAGAGUUUACUAUUCUAGUAAGUUAAUGGAUAGCUUUAACCUGCCCAUUUUAAACAUGUUUUGGGAGGGCAAGAAAAUGAUGA